Molecule: long non-coding RNA, 2052 nt
Organism: Pezoporus occidentalis (night parrot)
Lineage: Eukaryota; Metazoa; Chordata; Aves; Psittaciformes; Psittacidae
Exons: 2
Source: RefSeq, a predicted model, not a curated record
CUGAAGUCAGUAAGGAGUUAACUUCAAACAGUUUGCUAGAACAAGGUAAUUGGACAAGCGGGGAUUUAGAUCUGAAACAGGUGAAAAUGUAGUUUGCUUUAAUUGAUGGCUAAUUAACUGCAAUUAGCACUUGGUAAACAGGUGCCCUUAGCCCUGCAAAAAGGCAGAGGGAUAGUGUUUUGGCUGCCUUAUGCGUUUUAGGACUGUGAAGGGCUUAGAGAAGCUUCCUGAAAUGGAGAAGACAUUUCUCAUGCUGAGCCACAGGAAGUUGAUGCUGAAUUUCAGUAACAGCAGAUGUUACAAGGAUGCUAUCAAAAUUCUGAGGCAAAUGGGCUCUUCGUGACCAGCUUCAAGCAGAGCCCCAGCAUCUUCUCCAUGUGUUUUCUUCUCAUGUCUCAAGGCAGCAGCUCACCUUCAUCUGAGUUUACCCUUUCUCCUCAUUCUGUUUAAUCUCGUGAGGGGAGCAGCUGUAUAUCUGCCCUGCAACUGGCUUUUGCAGAGCAGAAAUAUUUGACCUUUGUAAUGCAUGAGAUCGCAGAGACAGCACAUGCUUUAAGAUACACCUCUAGUCUGAUCUGCAAGGGCUUGAAUUCACCACUGCCCUUUGUGUGCAUCAGCAAGAUCAGUCCUGACUACAGUGAAUUCUGCAGGAUCCUCAAAGGUUGUCAAAACCUAGGACUGGCUCUGUGCUGUGUUCCUGGCUCCUAGAGUGAUAUUGUGAUAGCUUUUCUUCUUUCUUUAUAUAUGGGAUACAUCCUCAGCUCCUGCAGGACGGAGGUAUAAGACUCUUCUUUUGCUGUUGUUCGUAGCUUAUAUUUGCACACAAUGUCCUUUGGACAGGCCAGUGUUAACUUGCUGUUAGGAGCCUCUGUUGUAUGAAAAUCUUGUGACUUAUGCACUGCUGUGAACAUGUGGGCACCAAUGCAGAUAAGCAUGGUGUGACUACUCAGAAAACAGGGCAUUACAGCUGACACAGCGUGGGAGUGGGGUCACCAUUUAACACAAGCACACAGAAUAAAGUGAGGGGCUCAGUCAUCCUGAUUAGGGAUAGAUCUUUCCCAAACUAGGAUAUGCUAUUGACUUCUGAUAUUGUGUCUACCCUGCUGAAUAACAGUCAGUCAUCUCCCAGCAAGUUCUCCUUCACCUCCAGUGUCACAAAAGAGACAAGGCACCAUUUCCCUAUGAACCUUUAGCAUACAGAUGGUGGUGAAAAAAGGAAAUAACAUGGCAGAUGCUUGCUUAGCCUGGAGAGGACUAUGCCCAUCAUCACCUGAGUCAGAAACUAACAGUGUGUAUUCUGGGACUUAAGCCCCCCUCUCCCCAAAAUGUGAAGCUUAGUAGAGAGAUCCCAGAGGUAGGAUCUCUCCACAAUGUAAAUGUGCAUUUUCCAAUGGAUAAACAAAAUAUUUAGCAAAGUUUCUAAGUAUUUUUUCUUAAUAUUUUAGCUGAUACAAGGAUUGUUUCAUUGGAAAUUGUUUUGUAUCCUAGCUGUUCCCCUCAGGGAUGAGCAAAUAUGGACUGAAAACAUGACUGACUGGAGAGAGAGCUUUUUCAUCCUGAUUGGCUUGGGCUGUGAUUUUGACUGACUUUACAGACUAAGGGAUAAGAUAGUUGGUACUUGUAGGCACAUUUGAUCUUUCUUGCCAAGAGGACAUGCUGCCAUUCUGAUAAGGAAAAGUAAUGCCAAGUUACUUCACCAUUCACACAACUCAAAUCUGUUUCUGCAAGCAGUUUGCCAGAUUGUGAUACAGAUCAAUAUAGCCUCUUUACUAAUCCCUAGCUGAGGGCCAUUUCAUUUGCACUUGGUGUCUGUGUAGUCUGAGGUGAGUGGGGGGGUUCUUUGCACUGCCGAAGAUUUGCUGCAAGGCAUCAUGAGAGAUGGCUAUUGCACUGCUGGGUAAAAAAUCCUAAACAUAUGCAAUGUGCUGUAGAGCACUAAGGCAUCCCUUGAAAAGUAAUGAAAAAUGGACUACUAAUUAUUGUUCAUUAUUGUGGAUGCAAAGCUUGUGAGCCAAGUUUAAUUAAAUACAAUGAAGAGCUGUCCCAUUUCAA